This 380-nucleotide long non-coding RNA is filed under the name Triticum aestivum (bread wheat). RNAcentral's name for it is "long non-coding RNA (TAES_LNC008840)". The record is from RNAcentral. Lineage: Eukaryota; Viridiplantae; Streptophyta; Magnoliopsida; Poales; Poaceae.
AGUCUAAUUCCUAUAAUCCAAGGGGAAGUAUUAAAAACACAUGUGCGCAUAUCAGGAAACUAUCAAAGCACAAACAUAUUUCUGCACACCUGAUGUCCAUCACGCCAUGUGACUUGUAUCCCAUUAGAACGAACACAACAACCAACACAAUUGAAUAGGUCCUUCCUGGCAGCCUGCAGGAGCGUCAAGGAGCCAGCCUUAACUGUAGGGACAUAUCAAGAAAAUUUGAGGCGUUCAAGCACGUGCUCACUGAAACCAAACCAAAUAUUGUCGGCAUCGGCGAGAUGUCCGUGCAGGGUUCAACUUUAGACUUUGCAGACUGCAGACCGCCCCAGCUGGUUCCCCCCUCCCUCCAUCGUGUAAUCUGGUAAGGAGAAGUG